RNAcentral lists this ribosomal RNA (250 nucleotides) under uncultured bacterium. RNAcentral's name for it is "partial 16S ribosomal RNA". It matches the Rfam family "Bacterial small subunit ribosomal RNA", at positions 524 to 772 of the family's 1533-position model. The record is from RNAcentral.
UACGUAGGGUGCAAGCGUUAUCCGGAAUUAUUGGGCGUGAAGAGUCUCGUAGGCGGCUUUGUAAGUGAUGGGUUAAAGACCCCGGCUUAACCGGGGGAGUGCUCGUCAAACUGCAAAACUAGAGUUAGUUCGGGGAUACUGGAAUUCUCGGUGGAGGGGUGAAAUCCGUUGAUAUCGAGAAGAACACCAAAGGCGAAGGCAGGUAUCUAGGACUUAACUGACGCUGAUGAACGAAAGCUAGGGGAGCGAA